This is a long non-coding RNA of Hirundo rustica (Barn swallow), 318 nucleotides long. RefSeq lists it as uncharacterized. The transcript is spliced from 3 exons. The record is from RefSeq and is a predicted model, not a curated record. NCBI's taxonomy places the organism in Eukaryota, Metazoa, Chordata, Aves, Passeriformes, Hirundinidae.
UUGACUGCAAUUUUUUUCAGGCUCAGCUAAUCCUUCUCAACUUUCACACUGAGGGACAUGGAGGAGUCUUGUACUUCUGUGCACAGUUUGCUGGUAUUUGGCUACUGUCAUGAAUGAGGACCUGCACUCAAAAAUUUUUUUAAAAAAAUAAAGAAAAAUCCUAAGUGAAGGGUCCUGGAGAGAGCCCCUUGAGAGCUGAAAACCGCCCUUCCCUGGUGUGAAAGACCCGUCAUGUACGCUGCUUCUCGCAGGUCAGCGGUGCUGUAAGGCCUGCUGGUGGGGGAGUGAGCAGGGGGCUGCCUGGGGCUGAGUUGCUGG